This 497-nucleotide ribosomal RNA is filed under the name uncultured bacterium. RNAcentral describes it as "partial 16S ribosomal RNA". It matches the Rfam family "Bacterial small subunit ribosomal RNA", at positions 28 to 507 of the family's 1533-position model. The record is from RNAcentral.
GAUGAACGCUGGCGGCGUGCCUAAUACAUGCAAGUCGAGCGAACGGACGAGAAGCUUGCUUCUCUGAUGUUAGCGGCGGACGGGUGAGUAACACGUGGAUAACCUACCUAUAAGACUGGGAUAACUUCGGGAAACCGGAGCUAAUACCGGAUGAUAUUUUGAACCGCAUGGUUCAAAAGUGAAAGACGGUCUUGCUGUCACUUAUAGAUGGAUCCGCGCUGCAUUAGCUAGUUGGUAAGGUAACGGCUUACCAAGGCAACGAUGCAUAGCCGACCUGAGAGGGUGAUCGGCCACACUGGAACUGAGACACGGUCCAGACUCCUACGGGAGGCAGCAGUAGGGAAUCUUCCGCAAUGGGCGAAAGCCUGACGGAGCAACGCCGUGUGAGUGAUGAAGGUCUUCGGAUCGUAAAACUCUGUUAUUAGGGAAGAACAUAUGUGUAAGUAACUGUGCACAUCUUGACGGUACCUAAUCAGAAAGCCACGGCUGACUACGUG